This 1522-nucleotide ribosomal RNA is filed under the name metagenome. Its description in RNAcentral is "bacterial SSU rRNA". It matches the Rfam family "Bacterial small subunit ribosomal RNA". The record is from RNAcentral.
AGAGUUUGAUCAUGGCUCAGAUUGAACGCUGGCGGCAGGCCUAACACAUGCAAGUCGAACGGUAACAGGAAGAAGCUUGCUUCUUUGCUGACGAGUGGCGGACGGGUGAGUAAUGUCUGGGAAACUGCCUGAUGGAGGGGGAUAACUACUGGAAACGGUAGCUAAUACCGCAUAACGUCGCAAGACCAAAGAGGGGGACCUUCGGGCCUCUUGCCAUCGGAUGUGCCCAGAUGGGAUUAGCUAGUAGGUGGGGUAACGGCUCACCUAGGCGACGAUCCCUAGCUGGUCUGAGAGGAUGACCAGCCACACUGGAACUGAGACACGGUCCAGACUCCUACGGGAGGCAGCAGUGGGGAAUAUUGCACAAUGGGCGCAAGCCUGAUGCAGCCAUGCCGCGUGUAUGAAGAAGGCCUUCGGGUUGUAAAGUACUUUCAGCGGGGAGGAAGGGAGUAAAGUUAAUACCUUUGCUCAUUGACGUUACCCGCAGAAGAAGCACCGGCUAACUCCGUGCCAGCAGCCGCGGUAAUACGGAGGGUGCAAGCGUUAAUCGGAAUUACUGGGCGUAAAGCGCACGCAGGCGGUUUGUUAAGUCAGAUGUGAAAUCCCCGGGCUCAACCUGGGAACUGCAUCUGAUACUGGCAAGCUUGAGUCUCGUAGAGGGGGGUAGAAUUCCAGGUGUAGCGGUGAAAUGCGUAGAGAUCUGGAGGAAAACCGGUGGCGAAGGCGGCCCCCUGGACGAAGACUGACGCUCAGGUGCGAAAGCGUGGGGAGCAAACAGGAUUAGAUACCCUGGUAGUCCACGCCGUAAACGAUGUCGACUUGGAGGUUGUGCCCUUGAGGCGUGGCUUCCGGAGCUAACGCGUUAAGUCGACCGCCUGGGGAGUACGGCCGCAAGGUUAAAACUCAAAUGAAUUGACGGGGGCCCGCACAAGCGGUGGAGCAUGUGGUUUAAUUCGAUGCAACGCGAAGAACCUUACCUGGUCUUGACAUCCACGGAAGUUUUCAGAGAUGAGAAUGUGCCUUCGGGAACCGUGAGACAGGUGCUGCAUGGCUGUCGUCAGCUCGUGUUGUGAAAUGUUGGGUUAAGUCCCGCAACGAGCGCAACCCUUAUCCUUUGUUGCCAGCGGUCCGGCCGGGAACUCAAAGGAGACUGCCAGUGAUAAACUGGAGGAAGGUGGGGAUGACGUCAAGUCAUCAUGGCCCUUACGACCAGGGCUACACACGUGCUACAAUGGCGCAUACAAAGAGAAGCGACCUCGCGAGAGCAAGCGGACCUCAUAAAGUGCGUCGUAGUCCGGAUUGGAGUCUGCAACUCGACUCCAUGAAGUCGGAAUCGCUAGUAAUCGUGGAUCAGAAUGCCACGGUGAAUACGUUCCCGGGCCUUGUACACACCGCCCGUCACACCAUGGGAGUGGGUUGCAAAAGAAGUAGGUAGCUUAACCUUCGGGAGGGCGCUUACCACUUUGUGAUUCAUGACUGGGGUGAAGUCGUAACAAGGUAACCGUAGGGGAACCUGCGGUUG